UAAAAGAUACAACAAAAAGCAGGGGUCAAAAUAAAACGUUUCCAGAAUUAUGGCGAUAAAAUGGAAUUUCAGCUUUAAAAUGUUCCCGGGAAAGCUUUUUCCAAUUAAUAAAUCCUCAGUAAACCCAGGAUGAAGCAUAGAUAAAUCUUACUCAAGCUUUUAAUCAGGCUCAGCGUAUAAAUAGAGAGGUCCCUUUGAUCCAUUAAGGUUUGAGCCGACGCGAUUUUCUUAUCUCGCCAUCAUGUACGGAAACAAAUGCCCUAGAAGCUAGAAAAGGGUUCUUCUCCUUCACUCUUCUUCUCUAACACAGCACAAGAACGAGACGCUUCGUCAGCUCCAUUUCUUCUGCUUUUCUCAUCAGGUUCCUCAAGUUUUUCUUUUAUUUUUCUCGGAUUUUUUAGAGGUUUUUUUUUUCCUGAUAUGAAUGGUGGAUUUUUAUUUUUUAUUUUUUAUUUUUAGUUGAUGGAUUUGGAUUUGGAUUUUUCAUUUAUAGAGUUGAGACUGGGUAUCAUUUCAUCUGAAAACUACGACGUUUAGGGUUCUUAAUGCUCCUUGUUACUGGAUCUUUUUAAUUUUAUGUAUAUGAAUUUUACUCUGCUUAAGAACAGCUCUCUUGAUAUUUGACCCCAAAAACAAACAGCUCUCUUGAUAUUUCUUUUUCUUAAUUAUAGCUUUUUUUUGUAUCAAUUGUUUUUUCUCAUUUAGUGUAACUAUUUGAAUGUGCAAGACAUGGAUAACAUACAAGAUAUCGCACAAGGGAUGCAGGAAUUUAAAAUUGAAGCGAUCUCAUGCACUUUUCCCCAGGAAAUCAUACAAGAGAUCCUACUUAGGCUAACCGUCAAAUCUGUUAUCAAAUGCAUCUCAGUGUGCAAGACAUGGAGGUCCAUGAUCAUAAACCAAAGCUUUAUUCGCACCCACCUCAACCCAACAGUUCAUGUUAAUAACCUGAACGCCAGUCACCUAUUCCUAAUCCACAGGGUUGCUGGUAAGAGGAGCGUCACUAUGUUCCACAAAGCCCUUGUUGAAGAUGUACUGGAAGAGGUUUAUUCUCUGCAUUAUGAUAACAAGGCUUUUGACGAGUACUCCAAGAUAGAAUUUCCAAUUGCUCCAAAGCAAGAACUGUACAAUCGACAUCUUCGUGUGGUCGGCACUUGUAACGGGCUAAUCUGCUUUGCGGAUGAUAUCUUCCGUUAUGGUUACGAUAUCUUUAUAUGGAACCCAGCCAUUAGAAAGUUAGUGACCCUUCCCUGGCCUGGUGUUACCUAUAUGACACAUGGUGGAUACGAUGCUUCUAUUGGGUUUGGUUUUGAUGCUAAUACCAAUGACUAUAAGGUUGUGAUGAAAGAGUAUGGCAUAAAGGAGUCGUGGACCAAAUUGCUUGGUCCACAGGGGCCGGAAAGACUUCUACCCAGGGGCAUUAUGUUUUAGGAAGAGCGGCGAAGUAUUACUGAUGCUUUGUGGAGAUAGGGAAGAAUUUUCCGGUGAUGAUGAUAACUUUGAUAAUUACUACAUAAAAUCAAAACUGUUGCUGCCACGUAGUGAGUUUUAUGCAUUCAUAUUAGAGUCUUAUUUGCUGCUGUAAAUUGUAAUAUAUAUGGAAUUGUUCAACAGUUUGUGCAGUGAAUUUCUUUUCCAAUGCUUUUCAUGAACAGGACUCGUAGGGCUGCAACUUCCUUUUCCUCAAGUGCCUGGAAUGCUGGUGCCUUUUGUUGACAUGGAACUUCUUAUCCCAAGUGCUGAUAUAUUUUCUCGACUAGUUUUUAGGACAAUUAUUAACUUAGUUUUUGACCUAUGGAAGUAUGCACCUGUUACAUAUUUGAAUUGGUUAUGCAGUUCUAAACUAGCGAAUGAUUUUGCAAAUUUUUUCCCUCAACAAUUAACAGUAUUUGCAUUUGAUAUGAUUCCCUUCA
RNA transcript from Prunus persica (peach), 1910 nucleotides. It is a transcript of the gene named F-box/kelch-repeat protein At3g23880, with no coding region annotated. Lineage: Eukaryota; Viridiplantae; Streptophyta; Magnoliopsida; Rosales; Rosaceae. The transcript is spliced from 3 exons. The record is from RefSeq and is a predicted model, not a curated record.